AUUGAGAGAUAAUUGAAUCAUGGGGCAGUUAUCUCCAUGCUGUUCUUAUGAUAGUGAGUGAGUUCUCACAAGAUCUGAUGGUUUUGUAAGGGGCUUUUCCCUUUUACUUGGCACUUCUCCUUCCUGCCAUCAUGUAAAGAAGGAUGUGUUUGCUUCCCCUUCUGCCAUGAUUAGACAGUGUUUUGCUUUGUUGCCUGGGCUGGAGUGCAGUGUCCUGAUCCUGGCUCAUUGCAGCCUUGAAAUCCUGGGUUCAAGUGAUCCUCCUGCCUCAGCCCCAUGAGUGGCUAGGACUACAGGAAUGCACCACCACAUCCAGGUUUGUGAACAUCCCACAUGCAGAGAAUGGAUCUAUGGAAACGGCACUGCUCCAGAGACUGCGCUGAACCAGCAAACAAUAAACUGUGAUAACAAGCAGGGAGCUCUGUCCCUGAGAACACCUCACAGAAAGACUGAAACCACAGUUGCUGACCUGAGAUGGGAGCAGGAGGUGGAAACUGGAAGGCAGUAGUCUAACAUGAGAGCUGAAGAGGCUACACAGAGAUGGGAAGACCUUCUAAUGCACUGAUCAUUGGUUGUCUCACGUGGUUAAGCAGAUUAUCACACCACCUGCAAAUAAUUACAGUUUUGUCUUUUUCUUCCCCAUAUUUAUACCUCUCAUUUUAAAAUUUAUUUUGUAUCAUUUUGUCUAGGGACCUCAGUACAAUUUUAAAUAAUCAUGGUUACAAUAACCAAAUGUAUCCAGCUUAGAUGGAAAUGUCAGUGUUUCAACAUUAAGUAUGCUGUUUAUUAUAGAUUGCAGCAGAUACCCUUAUCAAAUUCAAAAAGGUUGGUUCUAGUGCUAAUUGACUAAGAGUUUUUUUUUUCUUUCUUUCUUUUUUGUUUUGGUUUAAAAUUAGGAGUGUAUCAGUUUGUCAGGGUUCUCCAGAGAAACAUAACCAAGAAGAUGAAUGAUGGAUGGAUAUACAUGGAUAGAUGGAUGGAUGAAUGGAUGGAUGGAUGGAUGGAUGGAUGGAUGGAUAGACAGGCAGGCAGGCAGACAGAUGGACGGAUAGAUAGACAGACAGACAGAGAGACAGAUAGAUAGAUAGAUAUUUUAAGGAACUGGCUUACACCAUUGCAGAAGCUGGCAAAUCCAAAAUCUGCAGGGUAGGCUUGCAGGUUGGAGACUCAAGGAAGACCCAAUGCAGCAGUUUGAGCUUGAAAACGGUCUGCUGGGAGAAUGUCUUCUUCCUCUGGGGAGAUCAGUCUCUUUUCUCUUAAGGCUUCCCACUGAUUGAAUGAGGCCUACCCACAUUACAAGAGGUAAUCUGCUUUACUCAAAGUCUAUUGAUUUUAAUGUUAAUUUCAUCUAAAAAAAUCUUCACAGAAACAUCUAGAAUAUGUUUGACCAAAUAUCUGGGUACCAUAGCCUAGCCAAGUUGACACAUAAAAUUAACCAUCACAAAGAGUUGGAUUUUAUCAAGCACGUGUUUGGUAUGUAUUUUAUGAUUUUUAUCCUCUGUUAAUAUACUUAAUUUUAUUAAUACAUUUUGAAUAUUAGACUCUCUUUGCACUAAGAGUACCCACACAAGUCUUUACCUAAAUAUUUUUAAAGAUUCUAUUCUAUUUUACCCAAAUAUUUCAAAAGGUUCAAAAUAACAAGUUUUGGCAUGGAUAUUUGAUAUGGAUGUAAAGUGGCAAAGUCUUUUUGGAGAGUACUUUGACAGGAUCUAUAAGAAUUUAAAUGCAUACCUUUGACUUAUUGGUUCUAUUUUUUCUUUUGGAUCCUCAAAAAUACCUUUGCAUAUGAAUAAAGAGGCAUAUGGCAGGCUGUUCAUUAU
Molecule: long non-coding RNA, 1820 nt
Organism: Pongo pygmaeus (Bornean orangutan)
Lineage: Eukaryota; Metazoa; Chordata; Mammalia; Primates; Hominidae
Exons: 3
Source: RefSeq, a predicted model, not a curated record